This 1203-nucleotide long non-coding RNA is filed under the name Numida meleagris (helmeted guineafowl). Its description in RNAcentral is "lncRNA (ENSNMEG00000001447.1)". The record is from RNAcentral. Lineage: Eukaryota; Metazoa; Chordata; Aves; Galliformes; Numididae.
NNNNNNNNNNNNNNNNNNNNNNNNNNNNNNNNNNNNNNNNNNNNNNNNNNNNNNUUUUCUUUUUCCCUUUUUCUUUUUCCCUUUUUCUUUUUCCCUUUUUCUUUUUCCCUUUUUCUUUUUCCCUUUUUCUUUUUCCCUUUUUCUUUUUCUCUUCUCUUCUCUUCUCUUCUCUUUUCUUUCUCUUUUCUUCUCUUCCUUUUUCUUUUUUUCCUUUUUUCUUUUUCUUUUUUUUUCUUGUUCUUCUUUCCUUUUCCUUUAUAAUUUUUUCUUUCUUUUUUUCUUUUCCUUUUUUUUCUUUCACUUUCUUUUUUCUUUUUCCUUUUUUUUUCUUUUCUUUUUCUUCCUCUCCUCUCCUUUUUUUUUCCUUCUUCCUCUUCUUCUUUUUCUUAUUUUCUUCUGGUUUUGGACACUCAACUACUGGGGAAAACCUGCUUUUCCAGCAGCCGCGAUGGCCGCGCCCCUGCAGCCGCCCCCGACCCCGUGGAACCUCAGCCCUCGGAGCCCCCCCCACCGCUGAGCGCUGCGAGAACGACCCCGAGGGGCAGCAGCUGCACUCCACUGCUCAUAACCUUCAGCUGCCUCUGCUCUUCCCGUCCCGGGGAGCUCCUCGCACGAUGUCCCCGAGCCCUGCUGGGUUUUGCAGAGCCUGUGGCCCUGGAGGAGCAAAGCGCAGGAGAGCUGCUCCCGAGCAAACUCCUCCUUGCUGUCCCUCUGCUUUUCUGCCUGGAAACAAGGAGACACGAGUGAGCUGUGCGUUCAGGCCUGCUGCUGGGAAGCUGCUGCUUCACCCUUUCAAGCAACCUCACCGCAACGCCGAGGGCACCAGCAAGGAGCAGAGCAACGCCAGCUUCUCACCUGGGACACGGGGACUGCUGCGCUGGACGAGCACCGCGUCGGUGUCCUUUGCACGGAUGCAAAGCCUUUAUCACCACUGCAUGGAGCGCUGUGCGCUCUGCAGGAGGUUUGCAGACAGAUUGGGCACUGGGAGGUUUUAUGGUACCCCCAAGGAGAGCAGCAUUGGUUGCCUGCUCCCCCCAGAGCCCCUCACCGAGUGCACGGCCCCUCUCUGCCUCUGCUGCCUUUGGGGAGCUGCAGGCGUGAGCAUCUGCACCCACACAGAGUUGCAUUAACGACGUCUCCCAGGUUCAUAUUAAUAUUAUUUAUUAUAAUAAAGAACAGUCAAGCAGCGUGAAAAAAAUAUAU